GAUGAACGCUGGCGGCGUGCCUAAUACAUGCAAGUCGAGCGAACGGACGAGAAGCUUGCUUCUCUGAUGUUAGCGGCGGACGGGUGAGUAACACGUGGAUAACCUACCUAUAAGACUGGGAUAACUUCGGGAAACCGUAGCUAAUACCGGAUAAUAUUUUGAACCGCAUGGUUCAAAAGUGAAAGACGGUCUUGCUGUCACUUAUAGAUGGAUCCGCGCUGCAUUAGCUAGUUGGUAAGGUAACGGCUUACCAAGGCAACGAUGCAUAGCCGACCUGAGAGGGUGAUCGGCCACACUGGAACUGAGACACGGUCCAGACUCCUACGGGAGGCAGCAGUAGGGAAUCUUCCGCAAUGGGCGAAAGCCUGACGGAGCAACGCCGCGUGAGUGAUGAAGGUCUUCGGAUCGUAAAACUCUGUUAUUAGGGAAGAAUAUAUGUGUAAGUAACUGUGCACAUCUUGACGGUGCCUAAUCAGAAAGCCACGGCUAACUACGUG
RNAcentral lists this ribosomal RNA (497 nucleotides) under uncultured bacterium. RNAcentral describes it as "partial 16S ribosomal RNA". It matches the Rfam family "Bacterial small subunit ribosomal RNA", at positions 28 to 507 of the family's 1533-position model. The record is from RNAcentral.